Long non-coding RNA from Cavia porcellus (domestic guinea pig), 1189 nucleotides. RefSeq lists it as uncharacterized. The record is from RefSeq and is a predicted model, not a curated record. Lineage: Eukaryota; Metazoa; Chordata; Mammalia; Rodentia; Caviidae. The transcript has 5 exons.
UUUUGCUUUGCUGUUUGCCCCUCAGCCACACCACCCUGUCUUGGAAGCAGCUGGAUAUGGAUUGAAACUUUCAAAAACUGUGAGCUAAAGAAACCUUUCCUUCCUUCAUUUUGGGCAUCAGAUUGGAUCCCUGAAGGAUAGUAUCCUAGCUAUGGCUAGUACCUCCAGGCAGAGAGGAAGAUAAGAAACCCAGCGAAUACACGGGGGCCGGGAAUUUGGUUUAGUGGCUCAAGCACUUGCUUGCUUUUCAUAGGCACUGAAUUAAAGUUACUCUUAGAAGAAGUUAUAUGGAUUUGGCCCUUGAAAAAGGACGUGCGUAAAUAUGAAAAAAGAGAAAAACGCUUUCAAGAUAGAGGAAGAAUCUGAGUUACACAAUUUUAUGUUAAACUAUGUCCUCUCAAUAAGGAAGUCAUAGCCUCUUAUUUUGAGGCACAACCCAGUUGACAAUCCUAGAGCUGUUGGCUCUGCCAUCGCACUGGGAUCAACCAUUUAAAAAGAGACACGGGCAAGGAAACAGAGCUCCCACUUGGCUUCAAAGAUUACACAUCAGUACCUCAGCUGGCCCUAUUUACAUUGCUUCAAGCCAAUUGAGGAGAAAAGGAAAUAGCUUAGCCUGCUCUGUACAUGUCAGUACAUGGACUUAGGGUCAGGUUUAGCUAAAGUGGAGGUAAUGGCUCUUUAUUCAAGGAGAGCCAUUCCAGUGGUCCUCUAAAACCCUGUCAACAUUUUAAUUUUGGAAUCCAAUUCCCCAGAACUGUGCAACAAUAAAUAUUGGUUAUUUAAGGCAGCCAACUUGUACUUUUUUAGCGCAACCACAGAAAUAUUAUCCCCAUGGAAUCUAGGAUAGUAUAGCUAUUUCUUUGGCUCUGUUUGAAAUACAGUAAUUUUAUUUUUGACUAUUUUUUUUUUACAUUUUAUGUUUCUGUUGAAAAUGUUCUAUAUGAAAGAGAAGAAAUUGUGCUGAAAUUCUAUUAAUUAUAUCAUAUUUUAUUCUACUAAUAAAAAGUCUUUAAAUUCAAUAAUAGUUUUUAUAAUAGACUAUGUGGUAGACAUUUAAAUCUAUGUUUACAGAAAAUAUUUUAAAAUAUGAUCUUGAACCUCAUAAUGAGAUUUUGGUCAGUGAUGGGCUGGAUACACAAUGGUUGUCCCAAAGGAUUUUGUCACCUUUUUUGUAGUAGCUUUGCAUAUA